Molecule: ribosomal RNA, 433 nt
Filed under: uncultured bacterium
Lineage: Bacteria
Description: partial 16S ribosomal RNA
Rfam family: Bacterial small subunit ribosomal RNA
Source: RNAcentral
AACGAACGCUGGCGGCAUGCCUAACACAUGCAAGUCGAACGAGACCUUCGGGUCUAGUGGCGCACGGGUGCGUAACGCGUGGGAACCUGCCCUUAGGUUCGGAAUAACUCCCCGAAAGGGGUGCUAAUACCGGAUAAUGUCUUCGGACCAAUGAUUUAUCGCCUUUGGAUGGGCCCGCGUUGGAUUAGCUAGUUGGUAGGGUAAAAGCCUACCAAGGCGACGAUCCAUAGCUGGUCUGAGAGGAUGAUCAGCCACACUGGGACUGAGACACGGCCCAGACUCCUACGGGAGGCAGCAGUGGGGAAUAUUGGACAAUGGGCGAAAGCCUGAUCCAGCAAUGCCGCGUGAGUGAUGAAGGCCUUAGGGUUGUAAAGCUCUUUUACCCGGGAUGAUAAUGACAGUACCGGGAGAAUAAGCUCCGGCUAACUCCGUG